CUUCAAAAUGCUACACACUGUACCUUUAAACAGUGGUUCAAGUGCACACAUACAAAAGUUACAUCGACCAAUGACAAAUAAACAAUCAUUUAUACAACUAUUUUAAAAGUCUACAUAGAUAUAUACAGAAUACAUCUCAAAUAGACUAUCAAGUAUUAAAGUUGUUGUGCUGUUCAUCGCCUUCAGUAUUUCAAAACUAGACUAAACUAAAUGGUUCUCACCAUGUCCUCUCAAUGUGAACGGUUGAAUAUGGCGGAGGGGACACUAGCACAUUUAUUUUGGUUUUGUCCUGUUCUACAUGACUUCUGGUUUGACAUUUUUAAAUAGUUUUCAAAGGUUUAUGGAACUAACAUUCAACCUGACCACAGCCUGGCUAUUUUGGGAUAGAUCAGUGUUAUCAGUGUUUAUUAAAAACAAUUCUGACCUGAAUAGUCGAAGAUUCAAUGCUUCGAUAGGAGGAGCCUGAUUCGACUAAUCUUCGGAAACUUUCAGAACUUGUCAUUCUCUGCACUGAAAGCAAGCGUGCGUGUCAGGAGGAGACGGAGAAAAAUUUCAUUCACUCUGGUUUUUAUCUUGUUUAUUUUCCCGUUUAUUGUAGCGGUCUGUUCACAGCCUCUUCUGACAGUAAGCAAUUCCAAAUUCAUGUUAACCAAAGAUGAGAGAAAAUAUUCACAUGGAGACACAGUACGCUAUGAGUGUGAUGAUGGCUAUGCAUCAAUGGGAGAGACCAUCUCUAAGUGUGACACACAAUCCUGGAUUUACCCAGAAUGCAUUAGUAAUAUUUAUUCAACAAAUUCUACAUUUCAUUUCAGAAGAAGGUAACAAAAGGUGUCAGGAUGGGAGAUUGGAGACGCCUCCAAAGGGUCCGAUUAGACGUUGUCUCUCGAAGAGCCUUGCAAAUUGAC
Triplophysa dalaica is the source of this 905-nucleotide long non-coding RNA. RefSeq lists it as uncharacterized. The record is from RefSeq and is a predicted model, not a curated record. The transcript is spliced from 4 exons. Lineage: Eukaryota; Metazoa; Chordata; Actinopteri; Cypriniformes; Nemacheilidae.